GAACGAUGGGGCUGUUGCUGCUAAAGUGCUGCAAGAAAAGAGAAUCACCUCAGCUCUUGUGCUUGCGUCUUGUUUCCAGCCACAGGCUCAAGCUGCGAACCUUGAGCUCGUUUGACUUGCACAGAAAGCACGAGGAUGCCAUGACCCCGGCAGGGCUGGCGUUUCAACAGCGCCAGUGGGACAGCUGCGUUUCCUGGGUCUUCCAUCAGCUCCUCAAUAUGAGAGAGCCCGUGUUUGAAUUUGUGCGGCCGCCUGUUUACCAUCCUCCCCAGGUGAAGUUCCCACGCCACCAGCCCCUGAGGUACCUGGACAGGUACCGAGACAGCAAGGAGCCCACCUACGGCAUUUACUAGGGCUGGGCCUCCCCUCGAGGUGCUCAGCUCUGCGCUGGCUGGAAGGGCUGGGCUUAUCCUUCCUUGGAAAAAUCAUUAAAUGAACCCAGAUCAAGUA
Molecule: long non-coding RNA, 450 nt
Organism: Columba livia (rock pigeon)
Lineage: Eukaryota; Metazoa; Chordata; Aves; Columbiformes; Columbidae
Exons: 2
Source: RefSeq, a predicted model, not a curated record